This 393-nucleotide ribosomal RNA is filed under the name Stramenopiles sp. MAST-3E. RNAcentral's name for it is "partial small subunit ribosomal RNA". It matches the Rfam family "Eukaryotic small subunit ribosomal RNA", at positions 582 to 975 of the family's 1831-position model. The record is from RNAcentral.
AUUCCAGCUCCAAUAGCGUAUAUUAAAGUUGUUGCAGUUAAAAAGCUCGUAGUUGGAUUUCUGGGCUGAGCGACCGGUCCGCCGCUGUGCGGUGUGUACUCGGGUGCGUCUCGGCUCAUCCUUGCAGGGAACGACAUUCGGCCUUAAUUGGUCGAGGUCGGGAAUUGCAUCGUUUACUGUGAAAAAAUUAGAGUGUUUAAAGCAGGCUUAUGCUGUGAAUACAUUAGCAUGGAAUAAUAAGAUAGGACUUUGGUUCUAUUUUGUUGGUUGGAGGCCAAGGUAAUGAUUAAUAGGGAUAGUUGGGGGUAUUCAUAUUUAAUUGUCAGAGGUGAAAUUCUUGGAUUUAUGAAAGAUGAACUUAUGCGAAAGCAUUUACCAAGGAUGUUUUCAUUG